Strongyloides stercoralis is the source of this 119-nucleotide non-coding RNA. The record is from Rfam. NCBI's taxonomy places the organism in Eukaryota, Metazoa, Nematoda, Chromadorea, Rhabditida, Strongyloididae.
UCUUACGCUUAUAUCCUGCUGAAUAAACCGGAUCCCGUCCGAUCUCCAAAGUUAAUCAGCUGCGAGUUAUCUUAGUACUUAGAUGAGAAACCUCCUGGGAACCGUUUGUGGUGUAAAUU